GGCCGCCUGGCGAAAUGGCAUCGCGUCUGACUACGAUAUACCAGAUACAGUGGCAAAUAUUUCAAUCAGGAGAUUGCAGGUUCGACCCCUGCGGUGGUCA
Molecule: non-coding RNA, 100 nt
Organism: Crucibulum laeve
Lineage: Eukaryota; Fungi; Basidiomycota; Agaricomycetes; Agaricales; Nidulariaceae
Source: the annotation of a GenBank genome assembly